AUGCCAGCUUGGACAAGCUUGGGAGAUGAGAUGGUGCUUACUAUAACUUACUAUAACUAUAACUUUUGUAUUUUAUCUUUUUAUUUAUUGCAGUUCUUGCUGUGUGGAGGGCUGCACGGAGACACGUUUUCAGCUCAACGCAGACUGUUUUUCUCUUUGGAUUCUGUCGUGGAUCAUUUGCUCUGGAGACAGAAACACUUCACCCCUCAACGUUUGAGAAACAAAAGGUCUUGUUAAUGUUGGUCAGACUGAUUAAAAUUCUUUAAGUCUUAAACCAAUGUUGUGGUUCUUGUUGUCUCACUCAGCAUAAAACAUGAAUAAACAUCUGAUCAUCUUUAAAAAACA
This is a long non-coding RNA of Puntigrus tetrazona (Sumatra barb), 345 nucleotides long. RefSeq lists it as uncharacterized. Lineage: Eukaryota; Metazoa; Chordata; Actinopteri; Cypriniformes; Cyprinidae. The record is from RefSeq and is a predicted model, not a curated record. The transcript is spliced from 2 exons.